This 253-nucleotide ribosomal RNA is filed under the name uncultured bacterium. RNAcentral's name for it is "partial 16S ribosomal RNA". It matches the Rfam family "Bacterial small subunit ribosomal RNA", at positions 524 to 776 of the family's 1533-position model. The record is from RNAcentral.
UACAGAGGUGGCAAGCGUUGUUCGGAAUUACUGGGCGUAAAGGGCGCGUAGGCGGCCAUCUAAGUCAGACGUGAAAUCCCCCGGCUUAACCUGGGAACUGCGUCUGAUACUGGACGGCUUGAGUAUGGGAGAGGGAUGUAGAAUUCCAGGUGUAGCGGUGAAAUGCGUAGAUAUCUGGAGGAAGACCGGUGGCGAAGGCGGUCUGCUGGGCAGUUUCUGACACUGAUGCGCGACAGCGUGGGGAGCAAACAGG